RNAcentral lists this ribosomal RNA (121 nucleotides) under Oncorhynchus kisutch (coho salmon). Lineage: Eukaryota; Metazoa; Chordata; Actinopteri; Salmoniformes; Salmonidae. The record is from RNAcentral.
CCUUACGACCACACCGGCCUGAGUACGCCUGAUCUCGUCUGAUCUCGGAAGCUAAGCAGGGUCGGGCCCUGGUUUGUACUUGGAUUGGGAGACCGCCUGGGAAUACCAGGUGCUGUAAGAU